This is a non-coding RNA of Mustela putorius furo (domestic ferret), 73 nucleotides long. The record is from Rfam. Lineage: Eukaryota; Metazoa; Chordata; Mammalia; Carnivora; Mustelidae.
ACCUGCCUGGCUUAGUCAGUAGAGUGCAUGACUCUUGAUCUUGGGGUUGUGAGUUUGAGCCCCAUGUUGGGUA